Molecule: ribosomal RNA, 338 nt
Filed under: uncultured bacterium
Lineage: Bacteria
Description: bacterial SSU rRNA
Rfam family: Bacterial small subunit ribosomal RNA
Source: RNAcentral
AAUCAACGCUGGCGGCGUGCCUCAGACAUGCAAGUCGAACGCGAAAUUCCCUUUCGGGGGGAGAGUAGAGUGGCGCACGGGUGAGUAACACGUAGGUAAUCUAACUCUGGGUGGGGAAUAACAGCCGGAAACGGCUGCUAAUACCGCAUAAUGCAGCGGCACCAUAUGGUGACAGUUGUUAAAGCGGGGGAUCCUGAAAGGGACCUCGCGCCUGAAGAGGAGCCUGCGGCAGAUUAGCUAGUUGGUAAGUAAUGGCUUACCAAGGCGACGAUCUGUAGCCGGCCUGAGAGGGCGGUCGGCCACACUGACACUGACAUACGGGUCAGACUCCGUACGGG